This is a long non-coding RNA of Pan troglodytes (chimpanzee), 330 nucleotides long. RefSeq lists it as uncharacterized. The record is from RefSeq and is a predicted model, not a curated record. The transcript is spliced from 3 exons. NCBI's taxonomy places the organism in Eukaryota, Metazoa, Chordata, Mammalia, Primates, Hominidae.
CAGAGAAACAGCUCGACUCACAGAGAAUAGAGAAAAGCAGGGCAAGGCAAUGGCCCACCUGGGAGCAACACAGAGCCAAGGGAACCUCCCCCCAUGCAGAGAAGUGGAAUCCUUGAAUCUGCCCAUCAGAUAACCUGUCAACCUUUCCAGGAAGACUUAGCCACUCAACACCUGUAUUCCCACGGGACUCUGCUCAUCCCUUUACCUUGGAAAAAUAAAACCACCAAAUCUUAUUACUGAAGCUGGGCCCUUCUUAUGCUUAAGAAAAACAAAGCAAGCUAUGGAUGAAGAGAUUUUGUAUUGAUAAAGAAUAACACACCUUUCCCUGGC